RNAcentral lists this ribosomal RNA (460 nucleotides) under uncultured bacterium. Its description in RNAcentral is "partial 16S ribosomal RNA". It matches the Rfam family "Bacterial small subunit ribosomal RNA", at positions 338 to 795 of the family's 1533-position model. The record is from RNAcentral.
CCUACGGGAGGCAGCAGUGAGGAAUAUUGGUCAAUGGGCGCGAGCCUGAACCAGCCACGCCGCGUGAAGGAUGACUGCCCUACGGGUUGUAAACUUCUUUUAUAAAGGAAUAAAGUGAGGCACGUGUGCCUUUUUGUAUGUACUUUAUGAAUAAGGAUCGGCUAACUCCGUGCCAGCAGCCGCGGUAAUACGGAGGAUCCGAGCGUUAUCCGGAUUUAUUGGGUUUAAAGGGAGCGUAGAUGGGUUGUUAAGUCAGUUGUGAAAGUCUGCGGCUCAACCGUAAGAUUGCAAUUGAUACUGGCAGCCUUGAGUGCAGGUGAGGUAGGCGGAAUUCGUGGUGUAGCGGUGAAAUGCUUAGAUAUCACGAAGAACUCCGAUGGCGAAGGCAGCUUACUAAACUGCCACUGACAUUGAGGCUCGAAAGUGUGGGUAUCAAACAGGAUUAGAUACCCCUGUAGUC